CCGACGGUGAGGGGCGAAAGCUGGGGGAGCAAACCGGAUUAGAUACCCGGGUAGUCCCAGCUGUAAACGAUGCGCGUUAGGUGUGUCGGUGACCACGUGUCACUGAUGUGCCGAAGGGAAACCGUGAAACGCGCCGCCUGGGGAGUACGGUCGCAAGGCUGAAACUUAAAGGAAUUGGCGGGGGAACACCACAACGGGUGGAGCCUGCGGUUUAAUCGGACUCAACGCCGGAAAUCUCACCGGAUAA
Molecule: ribosomal RNA, 247 nt
Filed under: uncultured archaeon
Lineage: Archaea
Description: partial 16S ribosomal RNA
Rfam family: Archaeal small subunit ribosomal RNA
Source: RNAcentral